Bos taurus (domestic cattle) is the source of this 72-nucleotide non-coding RNA. The record is from Rfam. Lineage: Eukaryota; Metazoa; Chordata; Mammalia; Artiodactyla; Bovidae.
UCUCUGAUAGCUCAGUUGGUAAAGAAUCUGCCUGCAAUGCAGGAGACCCUGGUUUGAUUCCUGGGUCGGGAA